Molecule: non-coding RNA, 45 nt
Organism: Schistosoma curassoni
Lineage: Eukaryota; Metazoa; Platyhelminthes; Trematoda; Strigeidida; Schistosomatidae
Source: Rfam
GUGCGGCUGACGAGUCCUAAAUAGGACGAAACCCGCGUCUUGGAU